CAAGAUGUAGUUUAUUUAAUAAAUUUUUCUUUUACAUAGAAAAGAUAAUGUCAAUCAUUCGUUUUGA
RNAcentral lists this transfer RNA (67 nucleotides) under Prionoglaris stygia. Its description in RNAcentral is "tRNA-Val". The record is from RNAcentral. Lineage: Eukaryota; Metazoa; Arthropoda; Insecta; Psocodea; Prionoglarididae.